AUUGAACGCUGGCGGCAGGCCUAACACAUGCAAGUCGAGCGGAUGAAGGGAGCUUGCUCCUGGAUUCAGCGGCGGACGGGUGAGUAAUGCCUAGGAAUCUGCCUGGUAGUGGGGGAUAACGUCCGGAAACGGGCGCUAAUACCGCAUACGUCCUGAGGGAGAAAGUGGGGGAUCUUCGGACCUCACGCUAUCAGAUGAGCCUAGGUCGGAUUAGCUAGUUGGUGGGGUAAAGGCCUACCAAGGCGACGAUCCGUAACUGGUCUGAGAGGAUGAUCAGUCACAUGGGAACUGAGACAGGGCCAAGACUCCUCGGGGAGGCAGCGGGGGGGAAUAUGGGACAAUGGGCGAAAGCUUAACCCAGCAGGGCGGGGGGGGUAAAGAAGGUCUUGGGUUGGAAAAGCUUUUUAGUUGGGGAGAAAGGGAAUUAAUUUAAUCCCUUGUUGUUUUGACUUAACAAAAAAAAAAACCCCCGCCUAACUUCGUG
Molecule: ribosomal RNA, 484 nt
Filed under: uncultured bacterium
Lineage: Bacteria
Description: partial 16S ribosomal RNA
Rfam family: Bacterial small subunit ribosomal RNA
Source: RNAcentral